RNAcentral lists this ribosomal RNA (461 nucleotides) under uncultured archaeon. Its description in RNAcentral is "bacterial SSU rRNA". It matches the Rfam family "Archaeal small subunit ribosomal RNA", at positions 368 to 829 of the family's 1478-position model. The record is from RNAcentral.
CGAUAAGGGAACCUCGAGUGCCAGGUUACAAAUCUGGCUGUCGAGAUGCCUAAAAAGCAUUUCAUAGCAAGGGCCGGGCAAGACCGGUGCCAGCCGCCGCGGUAACACCGGCGGCUCGAGUGGUAACCGUUAUUAUUGGGUCUAAAGGGUCUGUAGCCGGCCGGAUAAGUCUCUUGAGAAAUCUGGCAGCUUAACUGUCAGGCUUUCAGGAGAUACUGUCUGGCUCGAGGCCGGGAGAGGUGAGAGGUACUUCAGGGGUAGGGGUGAAAUCUUGUAAUCCUUGAAGGACCACCAGUGGCGAAGGCGUCUCACCAGAACGGACCUGACGGCAAGGGACGAAAGCUAGGGGCACGAACCGGAUUAGAUACCCGGGUAGUCCUAGCCGUAAACGAUACUCGCUAGGUGUCGGCCACGGUGCGACCGUUGUCGGUGCCGUAGGGAAGCCGUGAAGCGAGCCACCU